This 307-nucleotide unclassified non-coding RNA is filed under the name Hevea brasiliensis (rubber tree). Lineage: Eukaryota; Viridiplantae; Streptophyta; Magnoliopsida; Malpighiales; Euphorbiaceae. The record is from RNAcentral.
GUAAGGAACAUUGCGCCUCCGUUAGCAUCAUUUGUUUUCUAAAAGUAUAGUUGUCACAGCAGCAUUUCAACUCGCGAAAGAUUACUAAUGUUAACAUGAAAAAUACUUUUGCCUUUUCCUUUUACUUUUCCUGUAAUUUUUUUUUUAUUUUAUCAUUUCUCUGUUGGGUUUAUGGAAGCACUUAGCAAUUUUAAAUCUCAUAGCUAAGAGAUAAAAUAGAAUAUUAUGAAACCUUUUAUAACACAAAACAGGAAGCUGAUCACUUGCUUGCAAGUAAAUUAAAGCUUAUCCUAUGCUAACGUUUUAC